GGUCAAGGCUCCGAUUCGGGGCCAAAUCCGGGACUGCCCCCGCAACUGUAGGCGGAGAGGGUCCGACCCCCACAGCCACUGACCGCUCAUCCGGUUGGGAAGGCCGGGUCGAAUCCGUUGACCCGCAAGUCAGGAGACCUGCCAUCACGAGAGUCGUCGCG
RNAcentral lists this unclassified non-coding RNA (161 nucleotides) under Magnetospirillum molischianum DSM 120. Lineage: Bacteria; Pseudomonadati; Pseudomonadota; Alphaproteobacteria; Rhodospirillales; Rhodospirillaceae. The record is from RNAcentral.